Molecule: ribosomal RNA, 253 nt
Filed under: uncultured bacterium
Lineage: Bacteria
Description: partial 16S ribosomal RNA
Rfam family: Bacterial small subunit ribosomal RNA
Source: RNAcentral
UACGGGGGGGGCAAGCGUUGUUCGGAGUUACUGGGCGUAAAGGGCUCGUAGGCGGCCAACUAAGUCAGACGUGAAAUCCCUCGGCUUAACCGGGGAACUGCGUCUGAUACUGGAUGGCUUGAGUUCGGGAGAGGAAUGCGGAAUUCCAGGUGUAGCGGUGAAAUGCGUAGAUAUCUGGAGGAACACCGGUGGCGAAGGCGGCAUUCUGGACCGAUAUUGACGCUGAGGAGCGAAAGCCAGGGGAGCAAACGGG